CUUUUACUACGUUAAUACUUAAUAAAUAUUAACAUACUUAUAACAUUUACUAUAUAACACUAACUUAAUAUUAUUUGUUCCUUUAUUUAUUCAGUUACAUUUAUACCUAUUUUGAGUAAGCAAGGAUAGUUAUUAAUACAUUGAAUACAUUAAAUCGAUUUUUGAAUAGACAUGAAAAUAUAUACCUUGGAACAUCCUGGUGUGAAAGCUCCUGGUACUCCAAAAAUUACAAUUUUUUUCCCAUUUGCAAUUUUAGCAAGAUUCACUUUAUUUGCAGGAGAGUCUUCAAAAAGAUCAAUUCGAUAACCAUGUUUUGAGAUGAUACUCGAAAUUGUCGUAUGAUAUAACCAAGUGACAGUCGUUCAUUGACGGAAAUUGCGCGACUUAUAAGUGGGUUCAUCUGUAUAUAUAAUUGAUAACGUUAUGAGUAAAUCAAAUAAUCAACUAUUUGUAAUAGAAUGAAAUUGUAAAAGAAUUUCUUUAAUUGGAGCACGGUUGACUAUGGAUUGAAUGAACGUACGGAAUUGCGCAACCUUUCCGACUCAUUACAUAAAUAUAAUCAUUUUCUUUUGCAAUAUAUUUUUAUUUUUAAUAUUCAUCUCGUUUACGUAGUAAAAAUUAAUCGAUAACAUUGCCACGUAAGACAAUUUGAUAAUUUAUCAUUUUAGACAACGAUCGAUAAUUAGUCAA
RNAcentral lists this unclassified non-coding RNA (690 nucleotides) under Bombus terrestris (buff-tailed bumblebee). Its description in RNAcentral is "misc RNA ENSBTSG00005031799.1". The record is from RNAcentral. Lineage: Eukaryota; Metazoa; Arthropoda; Insecta; Hymenoptera; Apidae.